GCGCACUUCCGGGGGUCCGUGGGAGGCUUCCGCCGCGCGCUUUCGGUGCGGGCCGAGGCCGCGGGCCUAAGUGGCAGCCGGUUUGUGGGCGGCCCGAUCCGGGGGACUGGAUGCAGCGGCGCCCUACAGAGCCGCAGCGCGGGCUGCCCGCGGCCGGCCGUCCUCCCUCGGCCUCCGAGGCGCUGGGGCCGUGGCGGGAGCGAGCCGGGAGGGCGAGAGCGCGAGGCACCGCGGCCGGGAAGGGAGUUCAGAGAAGCACGGUCUGUCAAACCGCGUGUUUUCAGAGUUUUAACGCUUACGUUUUAAACGGUUUGAUACAGUGGCUGCAGCCUAACAGUGUCGCCGAAGGGUGUGAAGAUGACUUUCCCUGGGAAGCUCGGGCGGACCCCGCCCUGCGGAGCGAGUCCCGCCCCGUCCGGUGGGGGCGCCGCGGGCGGCCUGGCCGCCUGUCCUGACCGGCGACGGUAGAGCCAGGAGCGCGGCGACGGACCAGAGACUUCACCUACUGUAGGGUUCAUCGUGAGGAUCGUGGUCGACAGUGAAGCAGAGCAGCGCAGCUAUAGAAAAAGCAGCGUGACUUUUCAUCUUAAAUUAAACAAACCUGGCGUUUAUUUCAUUUUAAAAUGCAAUUUAUUUUAUACACAAACAGUGCAUAAAGCUUUGUGUGUCUUUAUGGGUUUCCAGCCUCAGGACCGCAGACUCGCUAAUGCAGGAACCCACCGGCGGGCGCCCAGGGCUGAGGCAGAAGUCACUCAUCUCGGUACAGUAAUUCCCACAGGAGAAUCAGGAGUUAUAAUUUUUCCAAUCAUAGGAGAACCCAUGAAAUUCACAAAAAUUAUAACCAGUUUUCUUUUCCAUUUACAUGUUCCACAGGUUCUCUGUACAAUGGCCACGUAUUCUUUGUUUUUGAUACACACAUCCCAUUAGGCUUCACAACUGUUCAACAAAACCAGCCUCCUCAACACAAAACCUUGCAACAAAGAUCCAGGGACAGCCUCUUGGUUACUCGUAUGGCGAAUUAAAGAGACAAAAGAUGUUUCUGUUGUUGUUGUUAUUGUUUUUUUUUUUUGAGUGACAUUCUUUUGUCGAGAAAAAAAAAAAACAUUCAUUUUAGUUGGCUAAAGAUCUUCUAAGUGAUUGGGCGAAAAUUGGUUUCAUUCAUUUUCCAGAUCAGAAGAGACACCAUAAACAUUUUGAACCUCCCCUUUGUUUUCCUCCUGUAGAUAUAUGGAAUUAGAAAAUUCAACCUGAGAAAGCAGACGCCAGAAAACCGAAUUAGAAUAAACUAGACACUGAAUCCUGCCCCUCUCCCAGAGGGUAAACAGGGGAACUGCAUAUCAAAAAGGCCUGUUUUUUUGGCUCUAGGCUAACAGAGACCUUUGCUCAGGGUCUGGGCAGGAUGGCAAGCCAAGCAUCAUUUUUAUAUUUAUUUAUAUAUAU
Molecule: long non-coding RNA, 1440 nt
Filed under: Marmota monax (woodchuck)
Lineage: Eukaryota; Metazoa; Chordata; Mammalia; Rodentia; Sciuridae
Source: RNAcentral